AUGCGGCACACCGGGAGAGACGAGCUGUUGAGUCCCUGGACUCUGCCAGCACAUCGCGGCAGGAAUUCGGGACUGGCUUCGGAGGCCCUCUCUGGGGAAAGGGUCCUCUCGCCUACUCCCGAGCAGUUCAGGCAUCGUAGUAACAACAGGACCUGUUCCGGAAGCUCCUUCCAAAGGCCAGAACCGGUUCUGCUGAGAACUCUCCUUCCCACGGGGCCAGACCUGUCUGCCGGCCAUGGCAGCCUGGCGUGCAGUGCGAGGCUUGCUCAGGCUCCAUCUGGGAAGACAAGGUCCCCACUGGAUGGCUGGAACCUCUGUCCCCAGCACCGGGAGCACCUCCAGAGUGCACAGAAGGGCUGGCCGGGCGAUGCUGAGCUGCGCCCCUCGGCAUUGGCUUCCAGCAGGAGCGGCUUCUCACUCCACUUGGGGGCUGUCUCCAUGCCAUCCAGCUGGUGCUUCCGGCUGACUUUGCACCAAGUGCCACAGUGGAUCCGGCCGUAGAGGAGGCUGCAGGACCCAGCACAGAGGCAGACACACGGCUGGUAGCUGACAAGGGCAAGCUGACUGAUGCUCGAGAGAGCCGUGGUCACAGAACGUUGCUGCGACUUUGGUGACGAGUCAGAAGGCAUGAGGAUGACAGUUUAAGACUGAAAAGUAAAA
RNAcentral lists this long non-coding RNA (660 nucleotides) under Fukomys damarensis (Damara mole-rat). RNAcentral's name for it is "lncRNA (ENSFDAG00000024591.1)". Lineage: Eukaryota; Metazoa; Chordata; Mammalia; Rodentia; Bathyergidae. The record is from RNAcentral.